Molecule: ribosomal RNA, 381 nt
Filed under: uncultured eukaryote
Lineage: Eukaryota
Description: SSU rRNA
Rfam family: Eukaryotic small subunit ribosomal RNA
Source: RNAcentral
AGCUCCAAUAGCGUAUCGCGGAUCUGUUGUGGUUAAAAAGCUCGUAGUUGGAUCUCGGUUUCGGAAGUGUGGUGCGUCUUGCGACGUUUACUGCACAUUCGGACGAUUUUGCUAGUUCGUUUAUGGUGCUCUUAACCGGGUGCCUUAAGUGGCUAGUACGUUUACUUUGAAAAAAUUGGAGUGCUCAAAGCAGGCGCUACAGCCUGAACAAUUGUGCAUGGAAUAAUGGAAUAGGAUCUCGAUUCUAUUUCGUUGGCUUUCAGAGUCGAGGUAAUGAUUAAUAGGGACAGACGGGGGCAUUCGUACUGCGACGUUAGAGGUGAAAUUCUUGGAUCGUCGCAAGACGAACUACUGCGAAAGCAUUUGCCAAGAAUGUUUUCA